Molecule: non-coding RNA, 101 nt
Organism: Acanthosepion pharaonis
Lineage: Eukaryota; Metazoa; Mollusca; Cephalopoda; Sepiida; Sepiidae
Source: the annotation of a GenBank genome assembly
UCAUUGAAACACCGGUUUCUGUACGAUCACCGAAGUUAAGCAACGUCGAGCCUGCUCAGUAUCUAGUUGAUUGACUGCUUGGAAAUAUCAUGUGCUGUAAG